GACGAACGCUGGCGGCGUGCUUAACACAUGCCAGUCGAACGGAAAGGCCCUGCUUGCAGGGUGCUCGAGUGGCGAACGGGUGAGUAACACGUGGGUGAUCUGCCCCUUACUUUGGGAUAAGCCUGGGAAACUGGGUCUAAUACUGGAUAGGACCAUGCUGUAGGUGGUGUGGUGGAAAGAUUAUUUUCGGUAAGGGUUGAGCUCGCGGCCUAUCAGCUUGUUGGUGGGGUAAUGGCCUACCAAGGCGUCGACGGGUAGCCGGCCUGGGAGGGUGGACGGCCACAUUGGGACUGAGAUACGGACCAGACUCCUACGGGAGGCAGCAGUGGGGAAUAUUGCACAAUGGGAGCAAGCCUGAUGCAGCGACGCCGCGGGGGGGAUGACGGCCUUCGGGUUGUAAACUCCUUUCAGCCAUGACGAAGCCCUUGUGGUGACGGUAGUGGUAGAAGAAGCACCGGCUAACUACGUG
RNAcentral lists this ribosomal RNA (469 nucleotides) under uncultured bacterium. RNAcentral describes it as "partial 16S ribosomal RNA". It matches the Rfam family "Bacterial small subunit ribosomal RNA", at positions 28 to 507 of the family's 1533-position model. The record is from RNAcentral.